Long non-coding RNA from Mauremys mutica (yellowpond turtle), 445 nucleotides. RefSeq lists it as uncharacterized. The transcript has 3 exons. The record is from RefSeq and is a predicted model, not a curated record. NCBI's taxonomy places the organism in Eukaryota, Metazoa, Chordata, Testudines, Geoemydidae.
AAAUUUUCUUUUUCAUUUCAUCAGAGAUUUGAUUGUGGCCAGUGAUGACAAGAUGAGCUAAUAACACUUGAGCAACAUCAUAUAGUGCAAAACCCCUCCCAAUCAUUUGUAUUAAAACUGUGGAACUCAUUGCUACAAGAGAGCAUUGUCCUUUUGCUGAGCAGAAACUGAUGUAUGUAAUCAACUCCCCUCUACAGAAAAAGCAGUUUCCUUUUCUAGAGGUCUGUGGAAGCAUUUGGAAACAAGGAGGAGUGGUCACCUUUAGUGUCUCUACUCAGGGUUACAGAGGAGCAGUGGAAACAGAGGCUGACCUCAGAUAUAACAUCCAGGGGGAAAAGAAAACAAGUGAAUAGAAAGCAUACAAAGGAGAUAAGAGGUUCAAGCAAUGGGAAAACAUGAAAGGAAGAGGAAGAGAAGGGAACAAACAACAGAGAAGUACUUGCAG